GGUUUGUUUUGAUAAUGAGAGGAGAAGUUGAAGAGUCUUAAAUAACUGUAAAUGAGGAGUUAUUUUUGUUGAUAAAGCUAGUUUUGUUUGGAAAGGCUUACUUACUGCCUUUAGCAGAACUCCUAUGAAUCCGACUCGGUCGCACAAAAUAUCUCAACUCAUCGCAAUUGUCUGUCUUUCUCAUCGCAAGCUUGGAGCAGGUCAGAGCAGAACAAUGACGACCCCGAUGACUCUGACCACAGGAGAUGAAGACGUCUGCUUGUUUCCCACCCAAAGCUACCUAUAUGUGUUCCACCAUCCAGCUGAGCACGCUUCAUAAACCUACACAGUUGGCAGUCCAGAUGCAGGAGCAUCAUGUGUGACAUCAUCAGCGACAUGCACAGUUAACCUCCUGUGACUGAGAUCACGUAAUGAGGAAGUAUGAUAGUGGUUAUGUGGCGAUGUAAAGCCACUGUGGCGCCUAAGUGAACUCGACGGGUGACAUGAGUGGCAAAAGAAGCACCACUGAGUGAUUUGUUAUAUAUUAUAUAUUAUGCAGUUCAGAUGAACAAAUAUCCCAUUUUACCAUAUAAUUGAAGUCUAAUUUCUAUGAAUACUUUUGGAGAUUAAUUUUGUAAAAUGAUUGUAAAAACUUUUAUCCACCACAUUUUGUAGAAUGUAAUCUUGUGAUAUGCAGUUAUUAAUAUAUAUCAUGCUACAGGAACAAAAAUGAGUUCCAUUCUGCAACAACAUAAAUGUUAAACAUGCCUCUUUUCUCCAGUUAAUCAAGGUUUUAUUAGAUUAAUUUACUGAGUAACUAAAAUCAAAUUAUUGGAAAUGUGAAUGUAAUUCUUGGAGAGGAAGUGACCUGCAUACAUGCAGCGAUAUGAAAUGUUUACGCCAACAAAUAAAAAAACAUGUCUGUGAUUCACAUGUAUGUGCGAAAGUCUCUCUUCAGAAACCAGAGGGGGGGCAAAACGGGAAAAGAUGGAGCAACAUAUGCUGUGACAAUU
Thunnus maccoyii (southern bluefin tuna) is the source of this 992-nucleotide long non-coding RNA. RefSeq lists it as uncharacterized. The record is from RefSeq and is a predicted model, not a curated record. The transcript is spliced from 3 exons. NCBI's taxonomy places the organism in Eukaryota, Metazoa, Chordata, Actinopteri, Scombriformes, Scombridae.